Molecule: long non-coding RNA, 6675 nt
Organism: Heterocephalus glaber (naked mole-rat)
Lineage: Eukaryota; Metazoa; Chordata; Mammalia; Rodentia; Bathyergidae
Source: Ensembl
AGGAAAGUAACCAAGACAGUUCAGGGUUGGCUGGCUCUGUUUGAGGGGCAGCGCAUCACGGCGGGGAACGUGGAGGAACAAAGCUGUUCCCCUCCCUGCGACCGGGAAACAACUGGGGGCAGCGUCCCAGUAUUCCCUUCCGGGUCACACCUGACUUCCGGGGUUUAACUUCCUGCCAUUUGGCCCCACUUUCUGAAGGUUCCGCGACCCACCCAGCUUGGCGACCAAACCUUCAACGUAGGAGCCUUUGAGCCUUUGAGGGAGAGAGGAUUCAAGUCCUGCCAGUCAGCAAACAGGAAUAAAGGGGAAGCAGGAAAGACGAGAGGUGCUGGCGCAGGUCGGCGUUCACAGCAGCUGAGGCCUGUUUGGCCAAGCUCCAUAAUAACCCAGAGAAGACACCCAAAUAAUCUGGAGAGCUGUGUUUUUCUCUGUCAGUUUAGGACUGACCGCUUGGCCAAGGAAACAGGUGGAGGAAGCAGGCCAGGGAAGGCUCUGCCAGCCCGACGAAGCAGAUAGGGCCGAGUCUGAAACCCAGGCCGAGCUGAAGUUGCAGUUAGUGUGGAAAUGAAGAUCUUUCAGAAGAGAGGACGUUCCCAGAGCUUGUUCUCUGUUGUCUCGCCGUCUCUUGGCUCCACCCAGACAGCCCCUUGGCUCGCAGACUGUGGCUCCCCAGCGGGACGGCGGGCAGCCUCCCUAACCUUCUCCUGUAAGGCAGAGAGAAGAGGACGACAUGCUCCCCUCGGAACCCACACGCCGCAGCAGAGUUUGCUGCAGACCCCCAAAGCCAAAUCGCGGGGAGUCCUCGAUGGCAUUUCCGGGAGCUGCCACCACCUACCUAAAAAGCUGGUCUCUCUGCAAAGGCUGGAGAGCCGGAGCUAAAGUCAGAGGACUCAAGCUUGUCUACCUGUUGGGGUCAUAAAGAAGAGCCUGGCACACAGCAUGAACAUAAUAAACACUUGCUGCACACGGACAAAUGGAUGAAGCCCUGCCAUUCGCCUCACGUCGUGGGAGGGGGCCAGCAUCUUCUGGUAGGACAGGAAGGCUGUUGAAGGAGAGCAAAGAUCCAUGGAAGGUGCUGGGUGAGGGUGCCCUGCCCGUCUCCUGGUCUCCCGCUGUCGCUCCUCCAUUCCUACUGGCAGCUCCCACAGGAUGCCCCCUGUAGGCGCAGGAACAAACUGCAAUGUAUCAGCAUGGGAAGCACAACUCCCACUGUUGGGACUGGUAGGAAAUGGCCUUGUCUCAAGUAACCAGAAGCCAAGAGAAAGCACAGGCAGGGCUUUGCAGAGCUGGAAGGGCAGGAGGGGGACAGGAAGGAGCCCUGGCCAGGCCAGCAUGGCCACGUAGAAAAUGGAAUCAAUUCCCAGAAUGCCAACCCAGAACCAGAAUCCCCAGGACUUCCCCAGCAGUUUAUGAAGUCAGGGAUUCUCAUCCCCAAAAAGUGGCUGUCUGGGAGCUGAAGUGAGACAGACCUGGGUGAGUUCCUAGUCCACCUUUGUUGUCUGUGAACAUGGAGAAUGAGGGUUCUUGCAAGGAUCAAAGCAAUGAUGCUCUUGAAGAGCUCGGUGUGCAGGUGCUUGGGGAACCCCAGUUGAAAUUUGUUUUCACACUCAGAAGCUGGAAUGGUGUUUGGCAGAGCCACUGAGAAAGUAAGAAGGACAGGAGUGGGGGAACCCCAGGUCCAUCUCCACCUGGUUAUGUGAGCACAAGGUCACCCCACCUCUCACAACCACUGUCUCCUUGGAGUAAAAGGGCUUGGACUUGAUGCACCCUAACAGUGCUCUUCACCUCCAGGGCCUUGCGAUUUGUGACCCUGAACAGAUCAUUUUUCACUGGGCUCUGUUAGAGGAGGGAAAUAUGAGACAAGGACUUAACCGGAUGUCACAAAGCGGGUUCUCGGAGGUUUUCUUCACAGACUUGGAAGAUGUCCCUGUGCCCUCUGUCUUAAUUGCUUUCUCGUUGCUGAGACACAAUAUCUGAUGCCUGAAAAUUAAAUGCAGAAGUUUAUUCUGGCCCUCAGUUGGUAGAGAUUUUAGUCCAUAGUCCACUGGCCCCAAGGCAGAGGGGUGUGGCAGAGGAGGAACAGUCCAUGGCAUCGUAGCAGGAAGCAGAGAGAGAUCAAGGGAGGAGGAGGGAGGCAGACUUCCAAGCCACACCUCCAGUGACCCACACCUCCAACCAGGCUUCAUCUUCCAACAUCACAUUUGUCUAUAAACUCACCAGUGCACCAAUCCACGGAUGAGUGUCAGAACCCCAUUAUCCAGUCACUUCUCAAAAGCCCCACCUAUGAGCACAUGAGGCUUUGAGGGGGCAUCUAGUUAUAAACCAUAACACCCUUAAGUCUCUGCUAAUAUCCUGUCGUUGUCACCCCACAUGUAAGACCUAUGAAAUGCAGGGACAGCCUCACACCAUGGCAAACUAGUCAGUGACUCCUAAGCCUGGCUGUUAUGAUUUGGAUCUUAAAUGUCCCCUGAAGGCUCCAGUGUUGGAAGUUUGGGCCCAGCUUAUGGAGCUACUGGGAGGUGGUAGAACCCAUAGGAGGUGGGACCUAGUGGAAGGAUGCCACUGAAAUGUGAUCAUGAAGGGACAUUGGGGCCCCACCCCUCCCCUCACUGCUUCCCAGCCACCAUGAGGUGAGCAGCUGUACCCCACCACGUGCCACUCACCAUGAUGCUCUGCCUCACUCCAGCCCUAAAACAACAGGGCCAAGUGACCAUGGACUGAAACCUCUGAAACCAUGACCCACACUGAACCUUUCCUCCUUUUAAGGUGAUUGUUUCAGGGAUUUUGUCACAGUGAUGGAAAGCUGACUAACACAGGUUGUGCUCAGGUCCCUGGAUGCUGAAAGUACAGACUCUCAGACCUACCUCUUGCUGUUGAUUUAGAAUCUCUGCAGGUGAGCUCAGGAGGCAGGGUUUUUAUCAGUCAUCCCAGGAAAUACUGACAGCUAUAUGAGGACACGUAUUUGGGACAGACGGGAGAAGGUCAUUGCUUACUGUGUAGGUUGGUGGUGACAGGAAGUAUGCGCUCCUGAAUGUCUUAGUGGCAUGUUGGAAAUCACCUCUGUAGGGGCAUCUGCAACUGGAAGUGUCCUCAGCUCAUACCUGUCUGGGUCAGGCUCGGAGAAUUUACUUCUAGGCACUUCCCUGGUCCCAGCCAGAGGAGCAGCAGUGUGGACAACUGACACCCUGUAGGUCAAGAGGAAGAGAAGAAAGGCAAGGAGGGGCUGCAUCAUCUGCUUGAGCGCCAGAGUUAGGCGCUUAAUCAGCAGGCAUUCAUUGUUUCCAUUUCUGGAAGCUGGAAGUCCAGGGUCCUGGUGUCAGCAGGCUUGGUCUUUCUGAAACCUCCCCUUGGCUUGCGGAUGGGCCCUGCCCUGGGGGAGCCGGUGCUGUGUCCAACCAUGAGCCACGCUCCAGUCCCCUUCUGUGAGCACCAGGAGCCUGGGAAGGAAGGAAGGAAGGAAGGUUCUGGCUGACUGUGGAGAAACCAGAGCCCGGAAGUGAGUGGUGGUGGCCACACACACCAAGGGCCAGCACCAUGUUCCCGGCAGGGGGCCGUUCAGAGCCAGGGGCUGUGGUGGUCAGUGACCCCCUUGGCCCUCUGCUGCUGUACUCUGACUUGGGACAUCCUAAGGGAGCCUCCAUGGACUGUGGGGCCAGCAAGGCAGUGCUUCUGGUGACAUAGGGCCCGCCAGGUACCAGGGAUCACAUCCCCUGGGGGACCCUCACCAUGCCGCCUGCCCCCAGCCCCCAAGCCCCCCAGCCCCGGGGUCGCCACUUUCACACCCUCAGUUAGCAGCCACCUCGGGGAAAGAAAGGCCCAGGGGCUCUGAGAGCAACAUGAAAGUUUGCGCCUCUCCUUCAGUUUUUAAACUCUUCCUCUCUGGCCAGGCCAAGGCCAGAACCGCCUGCUUGUUUAUUUUUAAGUGUUUGUGCUGAUGAAGCAAUGAUGAUAUUUCCUCUUCCUCUCCCCUCUCUUCCUGUCCCUCUGUCUGUCUGUCUCUGUCUUUCUUGUAGCUCUGGGAGUUAAACUCAGGUCCUUUGUGCUGACCUAAAUCUCCAGACUUCCUUUAGAAACCUUUUUUCUUUUUAAGUUUUGAGAAAAAGUCUUAGUAAGUUGUUAAGUUGCUCAGGUUGUUCUUGAAUUUUGGAUCCUUGUGCUUCAGCCUCCCAGAAUGCUGGGAUUGCAUGCAUGUCCCACCGUGCCCAGCUUCUUACUUCUAACCCAGCUCAUAGAGAUGACUUUAGAUCCUCGAUGUCACUGUCACUGAAAAAACAAUGCCCCAGCUCACAGGAAGUGAAUCUCUGGUGUCCAGAGCACCUGCCAAGAGGAGAGGAAAGCUGACAGGGUUGGGGGUCAGGAGCCCCCUGGCAGCUUCAGACCUGUGAUUUCUGGAGAAGGCCGGUCUGGGUCCGCAGGCUCAUCUGUCCCUUCCUUUCCCCAGGUGGCACUUGGCCUGCAGUGCCUCAGCCCAUCAGUCCCCUGACGCCACACAGGUGUCAGACAGGCCAGAGAAGCAAGGCAGUGUCGGGGCCCAGGGCCGCCUGGGGUGAGGGCAGCAUGUCGGGGGGCUGCGCCCCAGCAGGCUCGCACAGGCUGGGAAGGCCGCCAGCAGACGGCUUUGUUUUUCGGCGCCACUUUGCUGUGAGCCUUCUCUUUCCUGAGACGACGCCAGCUGAUGGCGGGGGGAGAGAGACGGAGCUGAAUGGGACAGGCCUUGGCCUCCGCCGCUGGCCUCCUGCAUCCGCCCUUCAGAUCUCGCAGCCAGGGAAGCAGAUGUCCUGCUGGAGACUCGGCGUCUGAGGCCCACCCCAGCCCGCCUGCCUCCUCCCAGAGGAAGCCUAGAGCAGGGCCUGCCAGCUGUUGGGCUCCCUGGGCUCUGGCCCUGGUGGACUCUGUGUGCCAGGCGCCAGGUGCCAGGUAGGGGUGCUGGCCUUGCAGCUUGUGGCGGAGGGGCUGGGUGUGCGGGGACGGGAGGAGAGGGUGCCCGGCUGUCAGGACAAAGGGCAGAAAGAGGCCACUUCAGGUUCAGGUCUGGGGGUCCAGAAGGUCUCCACCCUCCACCAGCAGAGCUACAAACUAGAUGGACUAGCAGGUAGAGCAGGAGGGACACUCGAGCUAAGCCUGUGAUCCCACGUAAUUUGUUUUGCAUUUGGAGAAGGUCUCCAGCUGUGGCUUUUUCCAGGCCCGUGAGACUUUCCCAGGGCGGGGCGCUGGAGAGGGGCAUGUGGGUGCCAGGAGGCCCCAGGCUGGCCCGGGCUCUGGGAAGCAAGUGGCCAUGGCCUCCCCAGGCUGCUGGCCUCAGCUGGGGCGGCCACCGCCCAUCAGACACAGAGACAGGGACAGCAGCUGCUGCUGCAAGGUCGCCAUGGUGACUGUGACCGGCUGCUCCGGCUUUGCCCGCCCGGCUGGCAGCCCCUCCCCAGGGUGGAGGGCUGAGGUCAGACCCGUGGCCGCCUGGGCUCCGGAGCCUCAGAUCUUCUCUGGCAGCCAGGUUCAAAGCUGGGCUCCGGGCAGAGGCAAGAGAGCAGAAAAGGGCCCGGAAGGGAGGAGAAAGCUGGGCUUUACAAACACGAGCCAUUGUUCUCACACAAAAUCGAACUCAUUACUUGGGAGAUGAAAAGAAUUAGGUUUGAGAGAGAACCUCACCUAGUCAAAAUCACCUCAUUACCCCUGAGUGCCGCGGACCAGUGAUUUGCUAGUUUCCCUGAUCUUUCAGGUGUUUGGCUGAAAUCUCUUAUAAGAUCAUUUACAUCAUUUUGGCUAAGGUGAAGAAUGACUAAUAAACUCCUUUCUGAAAACUCUUCUGCUGUUUUUCAGACCAAUCAAGUCUUCUUGCAGCUAGACAACUCUGAUUACUUUAAACAGUGGCUUUUCAUGACUGAAUAUCUUUUUUUUCCUGUAGAAUGACACUGACACAUCUGUUCAGUAAAUUAUCAACAGAUUUAUUUGACUGUUCCGAAGUCCACUCACCAAGAAAGCUGAGGAAAAGGAAGCAAAGAAUUAGAGGGAAAAGUAGGAGUCACCUUACCGUGUCUCAGAAAGACGAUCAGUAUUUUUUUAAAGUGUUACUUGUAAUAUCUUUUGAAGGCUUAUUCCCAGGUCUUUAAACAUCUCUCCUGCUCUUCCCUGAGUCCCUUCUGGUUUUCAGCAUCCUGUAAAGGGUGUGAAUCAAAAUGAUCCUUUCUCCUAAUCAGGACUCCGAUCACUACACUGUGAAUGUGUAUAGAAGAGUCGCCUUCAGGCACACGAGUCUGCUUUGUCAUGGCGGUCAUCAGGCACACCUGCUUUAUUUAAUAACUCGUUACUGCGUUCCCAGCUCAUGGUUCGCUAGAAUCCCUGGAGUUUUGUUUUUAUUUUCCUUUUUCUAUAACUGUGCCUGAUUUCCAAGUCUCUUUGGGUUACUAUGAUCUCUGCCAUUUCACUUAAAACUUUCUCCUGAUGAGGCCAUCCUCUUAAGUGAAAUAAAUAGGACACACGUGUAAAUACCGAAUAGUUUCUCAGGUGUGAGAAAGUGUAAAUAAGGAUUAAAAUGAUUAAAAUGAAUAAAUGAUAAUUUGAAAUAGGAAGAAAAGGUCCAAAGGGGUAGGAAAAGUGGGAGAGGAAGGGGAAAGGAAAGAAGGGAAAGGAAAAAUUAUGAGAAAAGGAAAAAAUGGAAACAAAGUGUUUGUAAAUAGG